Molecule: ribosomal RNA, 345 nt
Filed under: Triticum aestivum (bread wheat)
Lineage: Eukaryota; Viridiplantae; Streptophyta; Magnoliopsida; Poales; Poaceae
Description: partial small subunit ribosomal RNA
Source: RNAcentral
AUGUUAAAAGUUUUUCACACAACCACAAAUGUACUUUCUGCUUCAAGUUAUUCUACCUCAAAAUUGUACUUUCAUCAAAUCUGGAAUGUGAGUUUAUUGCUACAGAAGGAAGCAUCAACAAAGCAUGAAGUUAUUCGAGCAGUGGUUGGAGAGAUGCAAAAAAAGUUUGAUAAGUAUUGGAUGGAAUCAUAUUUGCCAAACUGUAUACUUGUGAUCCUUGAUCCACGAUUUAAACUUUGCUUCAUCGAGUUUCGACUAAAACAAGCUUUUGGUCUAGAUGUAGAAAAACACUUGCUUGCAGUGAAAGGAGCUCUUGACAACCUUUUCGAAGAAUUUUCUUCAUAA